RNAcentral lists this ribosomal RNA (760 nucleotides) under marine sediment metagenome. Its description in RNAcentral is "LSU rRNA". It matches the Rfam family "Bacterial large subunit ribosomal RNA", at positions 1684 to 2443 of the family's 2925-position model. The record is from RNAcentral.
AGGUGGUCGAGUGACCCCCCGUCAAGGAACUCGGCAAUUUGGCCCCGUAACUUCGGAAGAAGGGGUGCCCCUGUCCGUGAACGGGCUUGCCCCAGGAGCGGACGGGGGUCGCAGCGAAGCGGCCCAAACGACUGUUUAACAAAAACACAGGUCUCUGCCAAAGCGUAAGCUGAGGUAUAGGGGCUGACACCUGCCCGGUGCCGGAAGGUUAAGGGGCGGGCUGAUAAGGCUCAAACCGAAGCCCCGGUGAACGGCGGCCGUAACUAUAACGGUCCUAAGGUAGCGAAAUUCCUUGUCGGGUAAGUUCCGACCCGCACGAAUGGUGUCACGAGUUGGGCGCUGUCUCGACGGGGGGCUCGGCGAAAAUGCAGGACCCGUGAAGAUGCGGGUUACCCGCUGCAGGACAAAAAGACCCCGUGGAGCUUUACUGUAGCUUGGCGUUGAAGGCGGGCCAGGGAUGCGUAGGAUAGGUGGGAGGCUGUGAAACCCCAACUCCGGUUGGGAUGGAGCCAACCUUGAAAUACCACUCUUCCCUAGUUUACCUCCUAACUCCGCGUACAGCGGAAGACAGCGCCUGGUGGGCAGUUUGACUGGGGCGGUCGCCUCCUAAAAGGUAACGGAGGCGUCCAAAGGUCCCCUCAGGCUGGAUGGAAAUCAGCCGUCGAGCGCAUUGGUAUAAGGGGGCUUGACUGCGAGGCCUACAAGCCGAGCAGGGGCGAAAGCCGGGCAAAGUGAUCCUACGGUUCCGUGUGGAAGGGCC